UUGUAUAGAAUUCCAACAACCGCGACGCUUCCAUCAUUGCUUUUGUGGACAAGAUGAAGCUCAACUGCAUACCGUUUGCCGUUCAUAGUAUGCUCAGAAGGCGUAUGCCAAUGCAGUUGACGCAGGGUGUAGUUCUUCCCGUUUAUAAACACAGCACCAGCUUCAUUCUCAAAUCGCAGCUGGAUGUUGUAUCCAUUGUUGAUGAGUGUUGCAUAGGUGGAUUCGUAAUUUCUGUCAAAUGAUUUCAAUGAAGAGUUAUAGACCCAAUAUUCCUUCUGAAUGUUGAUGGGAGACUG
RNAcentral lists this unclassified non-coding RNA (296 nucleotides) under Hevea brasiliensis (rubber tree). The record is from RNAcentral. Lineage: Eukaryota; Viridiplantae; Streptophyta; Magnoliopsida; Malpighiales; Euphorbiaceae.